Molecule: ribosomal RNA, 428 nt
Filed under: uncultured archaeon
Lineage: Archaea
Description: bacterial SSU rRNA
Rfam family: Archaeal small subunit ribosomal RNA
Source: RNAcentral
UACCAGCUCUCCGAGUGGUGUGGAUGUUUAUUGGGCCUAAAGCAUCCGUAGCUGGCUGGACAAGUCCCCUGUUAAAUCCACCGAUUUAAUCGUUGGUGUGCGGGGGAUACUGUUCGGCUGGGGGACGGGAGAGGCCGACGGUAUUUUCGGGGUAGGGGUGAAAUCCUAUAAUCCCGGGAAGACCACCAGUGGCGAAGGCUGUCGGCUAGAACGCGCCCGACGGUGAGGGAUGAAAGCUGUGGGAGCGAACCGGAUUAGAUACCCGGGUAGUCCCAGCUGUAAACGAUGCAGGCUAGGUGUUUGGGCGGCCACGUGCCGCUCUAGUGCCGCAGAGAAGUCGUUAAGCCUGCCGCCUGGGGAGUACGGCCGCAAGGCUGAAACUUAAAGGAAUUGGCGGGGAGCACCACAAGGGGUGAAGCUUGCGGUUU